GAUGAACGCUGGCGGCGUGCCUAAUACAUGCAAGUCGAGCGAACGGACGAGAAGCUUGCUUCUCUGAUGUUAGCGGCGGACGGGUGAGUAACACGUGGAUAACCUACCUAUAAGACUGGGAUAACUUCGGGAAACCGGGGCUAAUACCGGAUAAUAUUUUGAACCGCAUGGUUCAAAAGUGAAAGACGGUCUUGCUGUCACUUAUAGAUGGAUCCGCGCUGCAUUAGCUAGUUGGUAAGGUAACGGCUUACCAAGGCAACGAUGCAUAGCCGACCUGAGAGGGUGAUCGGCCACACUGGAACUGAGACACGGUCCAGACUCCUACGGGAGGCAGCAGUAGGGAAUCGUCCGCAAUGGGCGAAAGCCUGACGGAGCAACGCCGCGUGAGUGAUGGAGGUCUUCGGAUCGUAAAACUCUGUUAUUAGUGAAGAACAUAUGUGUAAGUAACUGUGCACAUCUUGACGGUACCUAAUCAGAAAGCCACGGCUAACUACGUG
This 497-nucleotide ribosomal RNA is filed under the name uncultured bacterium. RNAcentral describes it as "partial 16S ribosomal RNA". It matches the Rfam family "Bacterial small subunit ribosomal RNA", at positions 28 to 507 of the family's 1533-position model. The record is from RNAcentral.